This 305-nucleotide ribosomal RNA is filed under the name uncultured bacterium. RNAcentral's name for it is "bacterial SSU rRNA". It matches the Rfam family "Bacterial small subunit ribosomal RNA", at positions 333 to 653 of the family's 1533-position model. The record is from RNAcentral.
UUGUUCCUACGGGAGGCAGCAGUGGGGGAUAUUGCACAAUGGGGGAAACCCUGAUGCAGCGACGCCGCGUGAGCGAUGAAGUAUUUCGGUAUGUAAAGCUCUAUCAGCAGGGAAGAGCAGAAGACGGUACCUCUUGAAUAAGCCACGGCUAACUACGUGCCAGCAGCCGCGGUAAUACGUAGGUGGCAAGCGUUGUCCGGAUUUACUGGGUGUAAAGUGCGUGUAGCCGGGCUGACGAGUCAGAUGUGAAAUUCCGGGGCUCAACCCCGGACCUGCAUUUGAAACUGUUGGUCUUUAGUAUCGGG